This 81-nucleotide small RNA is filed under the name Epilithonimonas xixisoli. RNAcentral describes it as "Chryseobacterium xixisoli Flavo-1 RNA". The record is from RNAcentral. Lineage: Bacteria; Pseudomonadati; Bacteroidota; Flavobacteriia; Flavobacteriales; Weeksellaceae.
ACCCGACCUGAGUGGAGCUCAUUUUUUUGCUGUGGGAAAAGCCUUGGCAAAAAAUAGCGGGAACGGAGGGCGGAUAAGUUG